AAAAGUCGUAACAAGGUUUCCGUAGGUGAACCUGCGGAAGGAUCAUUAUUGAAUUCAAAUCAUCUGUGGCUUCGGUCCGGAUGUGCCAACAGGUAACACUGUUGGUAAUUCUAUCCAUAACACCUGUGAACUGUUGGAUGCUUGCAUCCACUUUUAUACUAAACAUUAUUGUAACAAAUGUAGUCUUAUUAUAACAUAAUAAAACUUUUAACAACGGAUCUCUUGGCUCUC
RNAcentral lists this unclassified non-coding RNA (231 nucleotides) under Filobasidium chernovii. Its description in RNAcentral is "partial internal transcribed spacer region". The stretch from base 1 to 48 matches the Rfam family "Eukaryotic small subunit ribosomal RNA", at positions 1784 to 1831 of the family's 1831-position model. The record is from RNAcentral. Lineage: Eukaryota; Fungi; Basidiomycota; Tremellomycetes; Filobasidiales; Filobasidiaceae.